GGAAAAUGUUGAACCAGAUCAGAAUGCCUUCAAGGACCACUUUCAGGCACAGGCUGAGAAGGAUGUGGAGGUUUUUGACCAGGUGAGACUGAACAUGGACAAGGCGCAAAAGAAACAGAAGGAGAGCUACCGGAGGAGAAUCAAGAAAGGGACCAAGAGCUUCGACAUCCGGCCAAAUGAAACCUUGCUGCUCUUUCACUCCUAGCUGGGCUCACCAUCCGUUAAGGAUCUAGGGGUUCUGCUAACACCCAGAAAUGGAUCCAGCUGAUGUCUUCCAUUACCAACCACCCUCCAGCUUUUUGUUACAUCAUCUACAGCUACUGUUAUUAUCAUGUUGUCAUUAUCUGCCAAUAACGUUUUCUUGCUCUAUCAUGCUGGAAACAUAAAAACGCUUUUUAUUUUGUAAUUUUUUUAUUUAACCU
Salmo salar (Atlantic salmon) is the source of this 422-nucleotide non-coding RNA. The record is from RefSeq and is a predicted model, not a curated record. NCBI's taxonomy places the organism in Eukaryota, Metazoa, Chordata, Actinopteri, Salmoniformes, Salmonidae.